CUGUCGGAGAGAGAAAAUACAACAAAAUUAAUCUACUUCCUCUGGCGGAGGAUCUUGCAAUGCUUAGGGCGUACCUGGACAAAAAUCCCCAGACAAGAAAGUGAAAUUUUAGUUUGGGUUAGGCUACACCUAUAAAAAGGAUAUCACAGACUCGUGUAAUACAAAUGUUUACCCAACAGAGAAGCAUAGUGCUGGCAUACCAGAAAUGCAUAAAGCUAAUGUUUUUUUACUUUAUUUUCCAGAAUUAUCAAGCACUGGCCAAGUUUCUCAUAUCUAGUAAAAGACAAGUGUUAGUGGUAGUGCUCCCCCAACAUUACAGGAGGGUCUUUCCAUUUGAAGCUAUAGCAGCAGUCAGCUGUACUUUAGUAGUGCCCAGUCUUUUAACAGUCUUCAUAAUAAAAUCUUGUAGGACAUGCUCACAAUGCCACAAAUACAAUUGUCUGCAAUAGAAAGCCUGUUUUACUUUUUUUUUUAAAUCUAUGUCUCGUACUAUAUACCAGAUUUCUGUUACAUGAUAAUAGCAAACUCAAGUAUAGAAUAUGUGAAAAAUUUGUUUUGGUGAAGAUGAGAAACAACUGACACCCUUCAGUGCUUAUGUACAGUAGACAAUUACUUAUCUAUAAAAAAAACUAAAAAUAGUAAAAGCUAGCUGAAAAAAUGUAUAAAAUAGUAAUAAAUUUCAUUUCUAAUAUUGUAAGUUUAUUCUAUACUAUUUUUAGUGAAUGAUCAUACAAGCCCAGGGGCUUUAUUAAGAUCUUACAUUAGUCAAUCCCCUGAUUCGAGACUACUCUUAUAGUGUACAUACACUAUUUAUUUUAUACACUAUUUGUGUGUGUGUUGGGUGUACCACAACUUUCCUGUAAUUCAGUUCCUGGCUACAAAAGCAUAAACUAUGACUAAUGUUGACUCUAUCUGUUAAACACUUUUACAAACAUUUAACCAAUUACGUUUACAAAAACAAACUAUGGGCUGUUAUUUAAAGAACGAGCGAAAUGAAAAUUGCUUACCUCUGCUUCUAUUACUAAUCUUGUAUGUUAUUGAACCAAACUUGGACUGAACUUCGGUUGAAUAUAGUGUUAAAAAGUUGUUAUAGCAUCAUAUAAAAUUAGGUAUAAGCAAGUUCUUGAAAUCACCCAUACUGGUACUGGUAGUUAUGUGGGACUGUGGGGCUCCAUCUCGGAUAAUAUCACCCAUACUGGUACUGAUGGUUAUGUGGGACUGUGGGGCUCUAUCUCGGAUAAUAUCACCCAUACUGGUACUGAUGGUUAUGUGGGACUGUGGGGCUCUAUCUCGGAUAAUAUCAAAAUGUUAAGGGGCAGCAGAGGCAAGUACAUCUAAAUAGACAUCUAGUAGGUUCUAAUAAGAUAAUUUCUGAUAAUAAUACAAUAUCAAGGUGUCCAGAAAAGGGAAGGAGGGUAUCUGAAUAGACAUCUAGAAGAUCCUAAUAAGAUAAGAGGGAUAUAACCAUCUAAUUGCAAAUAAUCAGAGGGAAACAAUGAUAAUAUCCUAAUCUCAAUAUCAGAUAUAAGUGAUUUUUCUCUUUGUGGGAGUAAGAAAGCCAAACGUAGAAAUGGACAUUACAUCCCUUUACUAUCAGCAAAAAGCUAGAUCCCCCCUAGAAUAUUAUCAAGUGGUUAUUUUUUUGUAUCUAAUUUUUAUUAUGUAAUUAUAUUCAUUUAUCAUACUCUGAUUGAAAUACCAAGUAAACACAUGUGGCAUAAAAAAUACCUGGUCAAUUUGGAUAGAGCAUUAACUACUUAUUUUACAGUCAAGUAAGUAAAGCAUAUGAUACUUAUGAGUUAUGAGCGAUUAAUUAUAAAUUUUUGUGAUUACUCUAGCUUGUUACACUAAAAGUUAUAGAACGCACAAUAAAAUAUUCCGGUUCCGAAUUUAAACGACAGUGGAUAAAAUAUUUUUAUUAUUACAAAGUGCAGAUGGACAGGAUAGUUCUGUGAGAAAUUAGGAGACUGAAUAGUCCUAUUCACAGUCCCCGCCGCCAUCUUGGAUACAAACAUGAAAACAAGGCGAGAGUUGACUCAUAAUCAAAACAAACAUUGUUGUCAUUGCUGAGUUUUUGGCAAAAAUGGUUCUAGUUUAUCAAAAUGUCAAUCUCAAUUCGUUAGAAGACAUUCAGAAACUUUCUGUAAAGAGUCUUAGAGAUGUUUUACGUUCCUACAAAGAAAAUACGAGCGGCAUAAAGGCCGAUCUCGUCCUAAAAGUCUACGCGAUUCUUAUGUCACACGUGCUAGAUGGCGGGCCAAGUGUCCGGAAGUAGAAAACCCGCAAGAUUGCGUUACUUUAUAAUACUGUAUUACGUUACAUAUUUAGUUUUGUUAUGUGAUCAUGUUGUAAUUCGAGAUAGGUAAAAAAGGGGGUUGUGCCCCUAGAGUUGAGAUGCGAGUGUACUAUUACUACGGAGAGUUUGUGAUCAAGAAAUAAAGUAAAGAGAAUAUAAGUGAGUUUAUUUGGUUGUCCCCGACAAGCUCAACACAAGUUCAAAGUCAAACUGUUGGUAUCAACUUUGCCACAGACCAAAUGCAAGUGGGCUUUUUUGUGGGUACCAGGGGGUGAAGCUUGCGAGGCACAUCAAAAGGCAACAUUCCAAGGAAUCUGAAGUGGCCUGCCAGCUUGCAGGAACGAGUAAAAAGAACAAAGUAAAAGAACACGAAAGGCUCCGGCUCCUCAGUGAUUAUCACCACAAUUGCAAUGUCCUGAGCUUAGGCGAAGGACAACUGAUUGUGGUAUGCCUACCUCCCUUGUAAGUCGUGCCUUGGGUUUCACAAGGGGGACGACCUUUGGAGGCACAGAAAGAAGUGUGCGUUUAAACAGCAUGGGACAGACGAAGAAGUUGGUAUCACCUUUGCCACAGACCAAAUGCAAGUGGGCUUUUUUGUGGGUACCAGGGGGUGAAGCUUGCGAGGCACAUCAAAAGGCAACAUUCCAAGGAAUCUGAAGUGGCCUGCCAGCUUGCAGGAACGAG
Molecule: long non-coding RNA, 2980 nt
Organism: Nematostella vectensis (starlet sea anemone)
Lineage: Eukaryota; Metazoa; Cnidaria; Anthozoa; Actiniaria; Edwardsiidae
Exons: 3
Source: RefSeq, a predicted model, not a curated record